GGCGUAAAGGGUGUGUAGGCCGACCGCCCCACCCCCCCCCAAGGUGGUAAAUGGAAUUUUUCUGUAGCGGUAGAAUGUGCGGAUAGAAAAUAGAACCCCAAAAGCUGAAGCAAUUUACCGCGGGGCGGGAGGGGGGGCCCCCUGGGGCGCCCCCCCGGGCUACGGGCUGAAACACGAGGGUGUGGGGAACAAACAGGAUUAGAGACCCUGGUAGUCCACACUGUAAACGAUGGAGAAAAUGCGAAUGCAGCCCCGAAAGGCAGCAAUCUCCCGCCUGAGUAGUACGAUCGCAAGAUUAAAAUUCCAAAAAUUUGGCUGUUCACCGUUUCGAUUAGAGGAGCGUGUAGUUUAAUUCGAUAAACCGCGAGAUACCUUACCCAAACUUGAAUCCUUGAGGAUUCCAAGGAAUCCUUAUGGACCGGUAUUGCAUGGCCGUCGUCAGUUCGUGUAUGAAACCUUAAACGGACCCAACCCGAGGAUUAGCCGCGGAUGAAGUCAGGUCUUAUGGUCCCAAUGUUUGGGGAUAAUAUGCGCUACAUUUUCUUAUACAAUGGGAAACCUGGGAGGUGAAACCCAAAAGUGAGAGUUCGGUAGGCUAUUGGAAGAUGGCCGAAAGUUGAAUUUAAUAGUAAUCG
This 635-nucleotide ribosomal RNA is filed under the name Palythoa mutuki. RNAcentral's name for it is "partial 12S ribosomal RNA". It matches the Rfam family "Bacterial small subunit ribosomal RNA", at positions 557 to 1344 of the family's 1533-position model. Lineage: Eukaryota; Metazoa; Cnidaria; Anthozoa; Zoantharia; Sphenopidae. The record is from RNAcentral.